This 2754-nucleotide ribosomal RNA is filed under the name Nephroselmis astigmatica. Its description in RNAcentral is "bacterial LSU rRNA". It matches the Rfam family "Bacterial large subunit ribosomal RNA". Lineage: Eukaryota; Viridiplantae; Chlorophyta; Nephroselmidophyceae; Nephroselmidales; Nephroselmidaceae. The record is from RNAcentral.
GGUCAAAUGAGAUAGAGCUUAUGGUGGAUACCUAGGCACCCAGAGCCGAUGAAGGGCGUAGCAACCGACGAAACGCUUCGGGGAGUUGGAAGCCAACUGUGAUCCGAAGAUUCCCGAAUAGGGCAACCUGCAAAACUACCUGCUGAAUUCAUAGGCAGGCGAGAGACAACCCAGCCAACUGAAACAUCUUAGUAGCUGGAGGAAGAGAAAGCAAACGCGAUUCCCUGAGUAGCGGCGAGCGAAAUGGGACCAGCCUAAACCGAUCUUAGAUCGGGGUCGUGGGACUGGACAAAAGGAAACGUUCUGUCAGGAGAACCAGCUGAAUCCUGGACCAAAGAGGGUGAAAGUCCCGUAUCUAAAGGCUUCCCGUUUCCACCAGAAUCCCGAGUAGCAUGGGGCACGUGAAAUCCCGUGUGAAUCCGCGAGGACCACCUCGCAAGGCUAAAUACUCCUGGGUGACCGAUAGUGAAACAGUACCGUGAGGGAAAGGUGAAAAGAACCCCCACCGGGGAGUGAAAGAGACCAUGAAACCGUAAGCUUUCAAGCAGUGGGAGGGCUUCGUGAGACGCCUGACCGCGUGCCUGUUGAAGAAUGAGCCGGCGACUUAUAGGGAGUGGCAUGGUUAAGGUGAACACCGAAGCCGAAGCGAAAGCAAGUCUGAAAAGGGCCUAGGUCACUUCUUAUAGACCCGAACCCGGGUGAUCUAACCAUGACCAGGAUGAAGCCAGGGUAAAACCUUGUGGAAGUCCGAACCGACCGAUGUUGAAAAAUCGGCGGAUGAGUUGUGGUUAGGGGUGAAAUACCAAUCGAACUCGGAGCUAGCUGGAUCUCCCCGAAAUGCGUUGAGGCGCAGCGGUUGACGAUCAGGGCUGUCUAGGGGUAAAGCACUGUUUCGGUGCGGGCUGCGAAAGCGGUACCAAAUCGUCGCAAACUAAGAAUACUAGACAUGCUUUCCGUCAACCAGUGAGACGGUGGGGGAUAAGCUUCAUCGUCAAGAGGGAAACAGCCCAGAUCACCCGCUAAGGCCCCUAAAUGAUCGCUAAGUGGCAAAGGAGGUGAGAGUGCUGAGACAACCAGGAGGUUUGCCUAGAAGCAGCCACCCUUGAAAGAGUGCGUAACAGCUCACUGGUCAAGCGCUCUUGCGCCGAAAAUGAAUGGGACUAAGCAAUCUGCCGAAGCGGUGGGUUUCGACGUAUGAGUCGAAGCGGUAGGGGAGCGUUCCGCUCUAGGGUGAAGCAUCAACGUGAGUAGAUGUGGACAACGCGGAAGUGAGAAUGUCGGCUUGAGUAACGCAAACACUGGUGAGAAUCCAGUGCCCCGAAAACCUCAGGGUUCCUUCAGUAGGUUCGUCCAUGGAGGGUGAGUCAGGACCUAAGGCCAGGCCGAAAGGCGUAGUCGAUGGAGAACAGGUUAAUAUUCCUGUACUGUUUAGUUUGUGGGUACCGAGGGACGAAGAAGGCUAGGUUUGCUCAGGAAUGGUAUCCUGGGAGAAGCUGACAAGGUGACGAGAGAUAGAAGAAAAACUAUCUUGAGCUGAGUCGCAAAGGGGGGACCAAUGGUUCUUUCAAACGGAUGUCAUACUUCCAAGAAAAGCUCGUACUACCGUGAUCAAACAGCACCUGUACCCGAAACCGACACAGGUAGGUAAGUAGAGAAUACUCAGGGGCGCGAGAUAACUCUCUCUAAGGAACUCGGCAAAAUGGCCCCGUAACUUCGGGAGAAGGGGUACCCUCAUCAUGGGGGUCGCAGUGACCAGGCCCAGGCGACUGUUUACCAAAAACACAGGUCCCCGCGAAGUCGCAAGACAACAUAUGGGGGCUGACGCCUGCCCAGUGCCGGAAGGUUAAGGAAGCUGGUUAGGACUUGUCCGAAGCUAGCGACUGAAGCCCCGGUGAACGGCGGCCGUAACUAUAACGGUCCUAAGGUAGCGAAGUUCCUUGUCGGGUAAGUUCCGACCCGCACGAAAGGCGUAACGAUCUGGGCACUGUCUCGGAGAGAGACUCGGUGAAAUAGACAUGUCUGUGAAGAUGCGGACUACCUGCACUUGGACAGAAAGACCCUAUGAAGCUUUACUGUAGCCUGGAAUUGGGUUUGGGCUCUUCUUGCGCAGCUUAGGUGGAAGGCGAGGACAGGCGGCUCGUGGGCCGUCUCGAGCCAUCAGUGAGAUACCACUCUGGGAGAGCUAGAAUUCUAAUGGCGACCCGUUAGCCGGGCGCUUGACAGUUUCAGGUGGGCAGUUUGACUGGGGCGGUCGCCUCCUAAAAGGUAACGGAGGCGUGCAAAGGUUCCCUCAGGCUGGACGGAAAUCAGCUGGAGAGUGUAAAGGCAGAAGGGAGCUUGACUGCAAGACCUACAAGUCGAGCAGGGACGAAAGUCGGCCUUAGUGAUCCGACGGUGCCGUGUGGAAGGGCCGUCGCUCAACGGAUAAAAGUUACUCUAGGGAUAACAGGCUGAUCUCCCCCAAGAGUUCACAUCGACGGGGAGGUUUGGCACCUCGAUGUCGGCUCAUCGCAACCUGGGGCGGAAGUACGUCCCAAGGGUUGGGCUGUUCGCCCAUUAAAGCGGUACGUGAGCUGGGUUCAGAACGUCGUGAGACAGUUCGGUCCAUAUCCGGUGCAGGCGUUAGAGUAUUGAGAGGAUCUUUCCCUAGUACGAGAGGACCGGGAAGGACGCACCUCUGGUGUGCCAGUUCUCGUACCAACGGGACACGCUGGGUAGCCAAGUGCGGASSGGAUAACUGCUGAAAGCAUCUAA